UGGCGCACGGGUGAGUAAUGUAUAGUUAAUCUGCCCUAUGCUGGAGGACAACAGUUAGAAAUGACUGCUAAUACUCCAUACUCCUUCUUAACACAAGUUAAGUUGGGAAAGUAGCUCUUAAUAAUGCAUAUAAAAUGGAUUUUAAAACAAAAAGCUAAAAAGAUAACAAUAAACUUUUUUGAAGCUUUACAUAAGUAAGGCAAGAAAAAGUGAAGCAGUUAGCUUUUAAAGAUUUUUGUAAAAAUUCUAAAUUAUAAAUAGUUUUUAAAUUAAAAUAUUUUCUUUAAAAGAGAUUAAUAAAAGUAAUUUUAAAACUUUUUAUAUGUAUUAUUAAGAGCUCUCGGCAUAGGAUGAGACUAUAUUGUAUCAGCUAGUUGGUGAGGUAAUGGCUCACCAAGGCUAUGACGCAUAACUGGUCUGAGAGGAUGAUCAGUCACACUGGAACUGAGACACGGUCCAGACUCCUACGGGAGGCAGCAGUAGGGAAUAUUGCUCAAUGGGGGAAACCCUGAAGCAGCAACGCCGCGUGGAGGAUGACACUUUUCGGAGCGUAAACUCCUUUUCUUAGGGAAGAAAUUUGACGGUACCUAAGGAAUAAGCACCGGCUAACUCCGUGCCAGCAGCCGCGGUAAUACGGAGGGUGCAAGCGUUACUCGGAAUCACUGGGCGUAAAGGACGCGUAGGCGGAUUAUCAAGUCUUUUGUGAAAUCUAAUGGCUCAACCAUUAAACUGCUUGAGAAACUGAUAAUCUAGAGUGAGGGAGAGGCAGAUGGAAUUGGUGGUGUAGGGGUAAAAUCCGUAGAGAUCACCAGGAAUACCCAUUGCGAAGGCGAUCUGCUAGAACUCAACUGACGCUAAUGCGUGAAAGCGUGGGGAGCAAACAGGAUUAGAUACCCUGGUAGUCCACGCCCUAAACGAUGUAUACUAGUUGUUGCUGUGCUAGUCAUGGCAGUAAUGCACCUAACGGAUUAAGUAUACCGCCUGGGGAGUACGGUCGCAAGAUUAAAACUCAAAGGAAUAGACGGGGACCCGCACAAGCGGUGGAGCAUGUGGUUUAAUUCGAAGAUACGCGAAGAACCUUACCUGGGCUUGAUAUCCUAAGAACCUUGUAGAGAUACGAGGGUGCUAGCUUGCUAGAACUUAGUGACAGGUGCUGCACGGCUGUCGUCAGCUCGUGUCGUGAGAUGUUCGGUUAAGUCCGGCAACGAGCGCAACCCACGUAUUUAGUUGCUAACAGUUUGGCUGAGCACUCUAAAUAUACUGCCUUCGUAAGGAGGAGGAAGGUGUGGACGACGUCAA
RNAcentral lists this ribosomal RNA (1299 nucleotides) under Campylobacter lanienae. RNAcentral describes it as "bacterial SSU rRNA". It matches the Rfam family "Bacterial small subunit ribosomal RNA", at positions 96 to 1188 of the family's 1533-position model. Lineage: Bacteria; Pseudomonadati; Campylobacterota; Epsilonproteobacteria; Campylobacterales; Campylobacteraceae. The record is from RNAcentral.